UAGGGAAUCUUCCGCAAUGGGCGAAAGCCUGACGGAGCAACGCCGCGUGAGUGAUGAAGGUCUUCGGAUCGUAAAACUCUGUUAUUAGGGAAGAACAAAUGUGUAAGUAACUAUGCACGUCUUGACGGUACCUAAUCCGAAAGCCACGGCUAACUACGUGCCAGCAGCCGCGGUAAUACGUAGGUGGCAAGCGUUAUCCGGAAUUAUUGGGCGUAAAGCGCGCGUAGGCGGUUUUUUAAGUCUGAUGUGAAAGCCCACGGCUCAACCGUGGAGGGUCAUUGGAAACUGGAAAACUUGAGUGCAGAAGAGGAAAGUGGAAUUCCAUGUGUAGCGGUGAAAUGCGCAGAGAUAUGGAGGAACACCAGUGGCGAAGGCGACUUUCUGGGCUGUAACUGACGCUGAUGUGCGAAAGCGUGGGGAUCAAACAGG
Molecule: ribosomal RNA, 429 nt
Filed under: Actinomycetes bacterium
Lineage: Bacteria; Bacillati; Actinomycetota; Actinomycetes
Description: Actinobacteria bacterium partial 16S ribosomal RNA
Rfam family: Bacterial small subunit ribosomal RNA
Source: RNAcentral